Papaver somniferum (opium poppy) is the source of this 535-nucleotide long non-coding RNA. RefSeq lists it as uncharacterized. The transcript has 2 exons. Lineage: Eukaryota; Viridiplantae; Streptophyta; Magnoliopsida; Ranunculales; Papaveraceae. The record is from RefSeq and is a predicted model, not a curated record.
UAGUGAACUAUGCUCAUAAAUCCUGGUCUAAGUAUCAGUUGUCACAGCCUUGGAUCACAGCCGAAUCAAGACUUUGUUGGUUCUCAUGCUGAAGAAAAACCUGUAACACCCAGUUGUAACCCUCAUAGGGAGCCGACGCAGUCAUGGGAUAGUUAUCAGAGUGCUACCUAUCAUCUAUUAGAUCCAUCAAGAUUCGUCUUGUUCCCCAUUGUACUGUUGUUGGCAUGUCAUCCCAAGUACUCGGUUUUAAUUGUGAACCGGAUCUAGUGAUGGAGAUUACGAAAGCUUACCUGAUGAAGUCAUCGAUAGCAUUAUGAAUAGUUGUGUGUUGGUGGCAAACCACUUGGAGAUAUUUUUCAUGUGAUACAAUGGAAUGACCCGUAAGCAGACCUCGAAGUUGAAUCAUUCGUGUUUUUUUCCAUUAUUGUUUAAAAUGUGAAUGUAGCUUCUAUUAUUGAAACUGAGGAUGUUUGAUGUCAAGUUGUAAAUUAAAUUCGCGCUGAUUAUAAUAUAAUGGGUCCAUUUGUAAACCAAA